RNAcentral lists this signal recognition particle RNA (298 nucleotides) under Saimiri boliviensis boliviensis (Bolivian squirrel monkey). RNAcentral describes it as "Metazoan signal recognition particle RNA (ENSSBOG00000002659.1)". It matches the Rfam family "Metazoan signal recognition particle RNA". From Rfam's summary of the family: The signal recognition particle (SRP) is a universally conserved ribonucleoprotein. It is involved in the co-translational targeting of proteins to membranes. The eukaryotic SRP consists of a 300-nucleotide 7S RNA and six proteins: SRPs 72, 68, 54, 19, 14, and 9. The record is from RNAcentral. Lineage: Eukaryota; Metazoa; Chordata; Mammalia; Primates; Cebidae.
GCUGGGUGCGAUGGCAUGUGCCUGUAGUCCCAGCUACUUGGGAGGCUGAGGUAGGAGGAUCGCUUGAGCCCAGGAGUUCUGGGCUGUAAUGCGCUAUGCCAAUUGGGUGUCCGCACUAAGUUCAGCAUCAAUAUGGUGACCUCGAGGAGCGGAGGACCACCAGGUUGCCUAAGGAGGGGUGAACUGGCCCAGGUCGGAAACGUAGCAGGUCAAAACUCCCAUGCUGAUCAGUGGCAGGAUUGCACCUAUGAGUAGCCACUGCACUCCAGGCUGGGCAACAUAGUGAGACUCCAUCUCU